Scatophagus argus is the source of this 292-nucleotide long non-coding RNA. RefSeq lists it as uncharacterized. The transcript is spliced from 3 exons. The record is from RefSeq and is a predicted model, not a curated record. Lineage: Eukaryota; Metazoa; Chordata; Actinopteri; Scatophagidae.
GGUGCUUAUUUCAGAAAGAAAAGGAAAGAAGAAGAGGAGAAACGGUCCAAAAACAAAGUGAUGCACUUUUCCAGCAACACUGCUAAAAUAUUUUGGAGCGCCUCCUGCCCAGGAUGAGUCUCCAGCAAUAGAGGCCUCAUCUGGAGCAGAGGAUCAGGUGAUCCCAUCCACCUCUACGGCUGCUAUGGCUUCUAUGGCAUCUCCUGCCAUGUCUCAGGAAGGCCAUGAAGAGUUUGCUGCUGCUUCUCCUCAGCAGGAGCCUAUAGAAAUGCCUGAACCCCCACAAAGUUCA